Long non-coding RNA from Rhipicephalus sanguineus (brown dog tick), 380 nucleotides. RefSeq lists it as uncharacterized. The record is from RefSeq and is a predicted model, not a curated record. The transcript is spliced from 2 exons. Lineage: Eukaryota; Metazoa; Arthropoda; Arachnida; Ixodida; Ixodidae.
CAGACACGUCCGCAUGCACACAGGAGAGCGAUGCUUUUCCUGUGUCGAAUGCAAUGCAUCGUUUGCGACUAAAUACAACCUCGUUCAACACAUGCGCUCUCACACAGGAGAGCGUCCCUUCUCCUGUGUUCACUGCGAUGCAUCCUUUUCGCGCAAAGGGAGCCUCGUGACGCACAUACAGACUCACACAGAAGAGCAGCGUCCCUUCUGUGCCCACUGCAAUGCAUCCUUUUCACGAAAACACAUCCUCAUAGGCCACAUUUCCCGCCAUCAUAAAAAUGAGAAGCCAUAAAUGUGACGGGCCUAUGGGCUUUUCUUAAACAAGAGGUGUGGCCGAGAGAGCAGAGUUUGUUCAAUAAAAGUCACUGUGAAAGUUUGGU